This 277-nucleotide ribosomal RNA is filed under the name uncultured bacterium. Its description in RNAcentral is "partial 16S ribosomal RNA". It matches the Rfam family "Bacterial small subunit ribosomal RNA", at positions 29 to 297 of the family's 1533-position model. The record is from RNAcentral.
AAUGAACGCUGGCGGCGCGCCUAAUACAUGCAAGUCGAGCGAGAAGACGUAGCAAUACGUUUGUAAAGCGGCGAACGGGUGAGGAAUACAUGGGUAACCUACCCUCGAGUGGGGAAUAACUAGCCGAAAGGUUAGCUAAUACCGCGUACGCUUCUUGGACUUCGGUUCAGGGAGGAAAGCGAUGCCGAGGGUAUCGCGCUCUUGGAUGGGCUCAUGUCCUAUCAGCUUGUUGGGAGGUAACGGCUCACCAAGGCUUCGACGGGUAGCUGGUCUGAGA